UUUAAGAUUGUAGGAUAUCCUCGAGAUUUAAACCAAAAUGGAGAGGAAAUAUAGGAAACGAUAAUGCAACCUAUAAAUGUAAAUGUACUCGCAGACAACAAUUCAAUCCCUAUUCAGGUUUACAAAGUCAGUUACUGAUACCCAAGAGAAUACAUGUCAACUAGGAAAUUGUGCUCUUACAAAGGAGCAGUAUGAUUAGCUUCUACAGAUGCUUAACAAGAUCUCUAUCACAGCUCCAACUUCUAUAGUCAAUGCAGCAGGUACUGAUAUUGAUAGGGCAAUGCUAGUGUCUAAAUCUUCUUAGGAAUGAAUCAUAGACACAUGUGCUACAAAUCACAUGAUCUCUGAUAUAAGUUUACUGAACAGGAACACAGUAGUUAAGACAAGUAAGUUAAAAUGAGUACUAUUACCAAAUGGUAAUAUAUCUCAUGUCACACACACAUAGUCUAACUCUAUUUUAGAAAGAAAUAAUAUAACAAAUAUGUUUCAUGUUCCUCAAUUUAAAUACAAUCUACUUUCUGUCUCCAAGUUAACAAAAGUAUUGUAGUGCUUAGCCAUGUUUUUUCCUUAUUUUUGUGUUUUUCAGGAUCUCUUCACUAGGAAGGUGAAGAAGAUUGGUAAAGAAGAAGCAGGGCUAUACCCUCUACAGGUGGAUGUUGAGAGAAG
RNAcentral lists this long non-coding RNA (666 nucleotides) under Nicotiana benthamiana. Its description in RNAcentral is "long non-coding RNA (NBEN_LNC017493)". The record is from RNAcentral. Lineage: Eukaryota; Viridiplantae; Streptophyta; Magnoliopsida; Solanales; Solanaceae.